GAUGAACGCUAGCGGGAGGCUUAACACAUGCAAGUCGAGGGGUAAAUGGUAGCAAUACUAUGAGACCGGCGGACGGGUGCGUAACGCGUAUGCAACAUACCUUUAGCAGGGGGAUAGCCCGUGGAAACGCGGAUUAAUAUUCCAUAGUCCAGCUGUAUCGCAUGGUAUAGUUGGUAAAGAUUUAUCGGCACAAGUUUGGCAUGCGUCUGAUUAGCUUGUUGGUAGGGUAACGGCCUACCAAGGCUACGAUCAGUAGGGGUUCUGAGAGGAUUAACCCCCACACUGGUACUGAGACACGGACCAGACUCCUACGGGAGGCAGCAGUGAGGAAUAUUGGUCAAUGGGCGGAAGCCUGAACCAGCCAUCCCGCGUGAAGGAAGACAGCCUUACGGGUUGUAAACUUCUUUUCUGUCAGAAGAAUAAGCUUGUCGAGACGAGUGAUGCCGGUAUGACAGGAAUAAGCAUCGGCUAACUCCGUGCCAGCAGCCGCGGUAAACU
This 498-nucleotide ribosomal RNA is filed under the name uncultured bacterium. RNAcentral's name for it is "bacterial SSU rRNA". It matches the Rfam family "Bacterial small subunit ribosomal RNA", at positions 28 to 526 of the family's 1533-position model. The record is from RNAcentral.